Molecule: long non-coding RNA, 931 nt
Organism: Zonotrichia leucophrys gambelii
Lineage: Eukaryota; Metazoa; Chordata; Aves; Passeriformes; Passerellidae
Exons: 7
Source: RefSeq, a predicted model, not a curated record
CUCUCGGGUGGAUCCUGCCUGCCCUGCCGGGAGCUCUCCUGCCCUGCCUCGAGCUCUCCACAGCUCUCGGCAUUUCCCUGUGUCAGAGCCGCGCAGUGCUCGGGUGGGAGUCAGGCUGACAUUCAUUUUGAUAAAGGCAUCUUGAGAAGCAGCUUGAGAAACGCAGCAAGUUGAAGCACAGGCUGGAAAAAAGCACACCGCCUGUAGCUGAAAACCUGUUGAAGGUAAUAAUAAACUUUCUCACUGGUGAACAUCAGAGAAAUCCCAGGAGUUCCUGAAUUUGUCACAGGAAGCCUCAAAUGAGUUGAAGUUCUGGUCUGGAGUCAUGGUCAUGCCUGGGUACAAAGAGCCUCUGCUUGUAGCUGUUCAGAAAAAAAGGAGUCCUGACUGUGCCAAAAGAAAGUACAUGAGCAAGAAUGUUGAAUUUCAGCUCAUGAGAACUGGAACCUGAAAUGGCUCCAGGAUCUGGGUCAAGAGGAGAACUUGGUGAACUUCUGCAUAGAACAGAUACUUCCCUAGAGCUACAGAGUGCAAGAGAGCCCAGCAUGUGCAGGAGCUGUAAGGAGAGCAGAGUGAGGGCUGUUCUUGCCUUCCCAUGAAAUUCCACUCCUCCCCUGGUUUAGGUACAGGAAGGAAAGAAUCCAUCUGUGGCAUUUCCCUGUGCAAGAUGCCAAAUGUUCAGUUGGAAAGGAGGUUUCUUCCCCCAGUCAGAACUGUCUCCUCUGUACCUCAAGAACUUCCUGUAGGAAAUUUUUAGACUGCUGGUGGAGCCCCAUGGAAUGAGUCAGCUCUGUGCUGCUUUCAGUCCUGUGAAUGAAAGGAGUCUGGAGGCAUAAUUUCCUUAUUACUGCAGCAUGGGUUUGAGAAAAUUGUAGAAUUCACUGCUUUCUCAUAGAUAUGUCUGUCUAAUUGACAGAAAGAAAACACCAAA